ACUCCUACGGGAGGCAGCAGUGGGGAAUUUUGGACAAUGGGCGAAAGCCUGAUCCAGCAAUGCCGCGUGAGUGAAGAAGGCCUUCGGGUUGUAAAGCUCUUUUGUCAGGGAAGAAACGGUGAGAGCUAAUAUCUCUUGCUAAUGACGGUACCUGAAGAAUAAGCACCGGCUAACUACGUGCCAGCAGCCGCGGUAAUACGUAGGGUGCAAGCGUUAAUCGGAAUUACUGGGCGUAAAGCGUGCGCAGGCGGUUUUGUAAGUCUGAUGUGAAAUCCCCGGGCUCAACCUGGGAAUUGCAUUGGAGACUGCAAGGCUAGAAUCUGGCAGAGGGGGGUAGAAUUCCACGUGCAGCAGUGAAAUGCGUAGAUAUGUGGAGGAACACCGAUGGCGAAGGCAGCCCCCUGGGUCAAGAUUGACGCUCAUGCACGAAAGCGUGGGGAGCAAACAGGAUUAGAAACCCUGGUAGUCCC
This 470-nucleotide ribosomal RNA is filed under the name uncultured organism. Its description in RNAcentral is "partial 16S ribosomal RNA". It matches the Rfam family "Bacterial small subunit ribosomal RNA", at positions 335 to 797 of the family's 1533-position model. The record is from RNAcentral.